UCAGUUAUUCAGAUUCCGAUUAAUCAGCCUAACUGCCUAAGACAUUUUUUUAAGACAAAACUGUAAUUUUGGUCCAUAUGGUUAGCAAAAGUAUGGGGAUGGAGUCCAAAAAUUUUCCAACUUGCACCACAUAUUCAAAAUCAGAAAUUUUCUAUGGUUUUAGUCCCUUAAAAAGUUAAAAGGACUAUUUUGCCCUUUUAAUUUUUUUUUUUAUUUUUUGUAUUUGUUUUAACACCAGUUUAAUUUAAAAAUAAUACAAAAAACAAGAAUUGGCCCACCCUAUCCUCACCCACGGUAUCCCUACACCCUCCCACCNUCUCUCUCUCUCUCUCUCUCUCUCUCUCUCUCUCUCUCUCUCUCUCUCUCUCUCUCUCUCUCUCUCUUUCUUCAUCUUCUUCUUCCUUACUGCUAUAUUUCACAUCCUUCUCAUAGUUUUUUUUUUGUAACCAAGCCAUACUAGUUACAAAGAAAAGAUCAAACACACCUAUGUUGAUGUAUGCUUGGCUAAUGGGUUUUUUCAAUUUGAAGUCUGAUGAGAAGAACCCAAUAAUGAAUUUGGAUAAUUGAUCUUGUCUUGCACUUAAAGUGAAGAAGAAGAAAAUGGAGGUAAGGUUGGAUAAUAGAUUUUCUAGUUUCUUCAUCCAUUUUUUCAAGUUUGUGUUGAACAAAUUGGAGCCCUAAUAAUAUGUCAAGGAUGAACAAAGGGACUUGAAUCAAAAUGCAUCGAUCCUAAUAUUGCAUAAAUUGUAUCGCAUCGGGAAUAACCGAGGUUCGAGAACCCUUCUGUGGCUGUGAGGUUUCUUUGAUUUGAGGAACAUAGGAUGAAUCUGGGAUGAAAGCAAGAACACGAUCAUAGGAUGAAUUCCCUCCCCUCUGUGUUCUUUUCACUUUAUUACUCCCAUCCAUUCUUUCUGGUAGCAACUUAUCCACUCCACCGGAUGGAUAAAUCUCAAUUCAGAGAACAUGUAUAAGAAUGUUAAAUUUUCUUUUCUUUUAGCAAGAAGAGAAAAUCUUUAUUGCCUCAACAAUUUGUUUAAUGAAUGAAAACUCAUCAAGAAAUGCAACUCGUUUGAUUUUGUAGAAGAUCGUGAAGCAUGUCUAAACACCAGGAAGAGCUUAAAGAAUAUGAAGAAAGGUCUCAAAGGUGAAGAUUCUAGUUCAAGAGGUGAUGCAGAAUACUCUGUUAGUCAUCAUCAUUCAUCAAGACCCAAAACAACCAAUUUUUGAAAGAAACAAGAAAAAUGUUUACAGGUGGAGCUCGACACAUGGACCUCACAGCAGGUGGGAGGCUUUUUGGCGAGCAAGGGUGGUUUUACUGUGCAGUAAAGGUGAAUCUAUGGUGGAGAUGGUGAAAUUUGGUGGUUCUGGGUUUUCUUGGGAAUGUGUGUGUAUGUGAUAUAUAUAUAUAUAUAUAUAUAUAUAUAUAUAUAUAUAUAUAUAUAUAUAU
This 1447-nucleotide long non-coding RNA is filed under the name Lactuca sativa (garden lettuce). RNAcentral describes it as "long non-coding RNA (LSAT_LNC009898)". The record is from RNAcentral. Lineage: Eukaryota; Viridiplantae; Streptophyta; Magnoliopsida; Asterales; Asteraceae.